UUAACUUUAUUAUGUUUACUCAGACUGAAGUUCAGGUGUUAAAGUCUUCGGCGCGAGCGCCGAAGCAACAGGAUGAUACACAAGGGUUGGAGUUUGGCAAGCCAAUCUCAGUAAUGAUCCUUCCGCAGGUUCACCUACGGAAA
RNAcentral lists this unclassified non-coding RNA (143 nucleotides) under uncultured fungus. RNAcentral describes it as "sequence contains ITS1". Lineage: Eukaryota; Fungi. The record is from RNAcentral.